ACCUCUGGAGAUCAUCUAGUCCAACCCCCCUGUGUGGGCUCACCUGCUGUGCUCCCCUCAUACUUUCAAAACACUUUUUGUGGCUGUAGCGAGCAGGAACAAAAAGCAGUGAAGGAAGGCAAGGUGAAACCUAACUUAGCCUGGGCAUGAAGUCCCUGCAUCCAAACAAUCCCACUGCUGAUCUUUCUUCUCACUUUAAUUGCCAUCAUGCAUGAAGGAAUGAAAGGAACUCCACAUUUGGAGAAGCAAUAUGCCAAAACCAGUGUUUGCUGUUGAAACUGAUCCUCUGUGCUGGGCCAGGGAAAGAAGUUGUCCAGGAAGGGCACGGAUGGGCAGCAGUGAUAACGCAGUAACUACAAUAAACUCUCACACUGCUGGCUGUGGAGACAGCAGUGGAGUGCAUGCGGAAACACCGUGUGGCUGCCUGUGCUGAGGCCACCAGGCAGGGCUGGGGCAGUGCCCCAAGCUCCAGCAACAAAGCCAGUACCUACUCAAACCAGUGGGUUUAAACCCAACGGGAACAGCUUUUCCUGAGGCGCGCAAGGGACCAGCCUGGUGCUCCCAGAGCAUGGGAGCGUGGGCCAGUGUGCAUGGCUGCUGCCUUGGGCCUGCACCUCUUGGGAGCCCAUUGCAGCAGGGCAGGACACCCCGGAGCAUGGGCACGGCACCUCUCAUCUGCCCAAACAGGAUUUAGAUAGAAAGGUGUCUGCAGAGCACAAACUCCCCACCCAGCCCCAGGAGGGAGCCAGCAUGCCAUGCUCAAGCCUCUGCCAUGGCAAGCAGGAAGGGAAACCACGCCUGCAAUGCACGAGUCGCCCUGCAGUCGGUGGGAGAGAACAGCCACGCUUUAGCUGGGAUAUAUUUAAAGCUGUCCUAAAGGAGAACUACCACGAGGAAAGUAAUCACAAAGGAGGGAACCAAGUGUGAGUGACUUUCUGUACAGGUUGGGCAGCAAGCCAACCUGCAGAGAAUCAGGUGCCAAAACCUGUGCAGCCAUAGCAGCUGCUAUCCCUUCCCCUCAUCAUCAAUUCUGGGAAGCCAAGCGCACGAGUCAACUGUUUCUCUUGAUGCAAUUGUGUUUACUUAAAAA
Molecule: long non-coding RNA, 1090 nt
Organism: Pezoporus occidentalis (night parrot)
Lineage: Eukaryota; Metazoa; Chordata; Aves; Psittaciformes; Psittacidae
Exons: 2
Source: RefSeq, a predicted model, not a curated record